Molecule: long non-coding RNA, 749 nt
Organism: Gordionus sp. m RMFG-2023
Lineage: Eukaryota; Metazoa; Nematomorpha; Gordioida; Chordodea; Parachordodidae
Exons: 5
Source: RefSeq, a predicted model, not a curated record
GGGAUGAUAUAUAGAAGGCCGGACUCGACCACGUGAUUCCGUAUUAAUAUAUUAAAUAAUAAGGGUCUUAUUACAUUUUAAUAAAUUUUGGUCGGUAUUUAGCAAAUUAGAUUGGUAUUUAAAAUAUUUCCAUACAUUCACUUGGUAGUAAGCAUCAUUAACCCCAUCAUGUGCGGGUAAAGGGAUAUUUAAAAACAAUAUCUUUCAUGUAUCCAAACAAUACACUGUUCUUGCCUGCUUAGAAAGUUUAUCUAAAAUAUUUUCUCCAAUCAUUUGAGACCAUAACCAACCCAGAAUAUAUUGCUAAUAUGCUAUCUUGUUAACCUGGAAAUUUUCUUCUUAGAAUAUAAUGCUAAUAUGCUAUUUUGUUAACCUGGAAAUUUUCUUCUUAGCAUCAAUUGAUAUAAUCCAUUCAGGAACUCCAACUAAUCAAGCAUCACUUGAUAUAAUCCAUUCAGAAACUCCAACCAACCAAACAUUACUUGAUAUAAUCCAUUCAGGAACUCCAACCAACCAAAGAAAAUUUAAAAUAUGCUAUCUUGUUAACCUGGAAAUUUUAAUCUUAGCAUCAUUUAUAAUCCAUUCAGGAACAAUUAAUUUUUUUAAAGCAAAAUGCCCAAUAUAAAUUUAUAAAAUCUAAAUUUAAUAAAAAAUCUACUAUUUUCUAAUAAUUAUUUAUAUUCUCAAAAUAGAGAAAACUAUUAUAUGCAUACAUAAAUAUUUAUUAAUUAUUAGGUUUUUACCUAAAA